This 464-nucleotide ribosomal RNA is filed under the name uncultured bacterium. RNAcentral's name for it is "partial 16S ribosomal RNA". It matches the Rfam family "Bacterial small subunit ribosomal RNA", at positions 339 to 795 of the family's 1533-position model. The record is from RNAcentral.
CUACGGGCUGCUCCAGUGAGGAAUAUUGCACAAUGGGCGCAAGCCUGAUGCAGCCAUGCCGCGUGUAUGAAGAAGGCCUUCGGGUUGUAAAGUACUUUCAGCGGGGAGGAAGGGAGUAAAGUUAAUACCUUUGCUCAUUGACGUUACCCGCAGAAGAAGCACCGGCUAGCUCCGUGCCAGCAGCCGCGGUAAUACGGAGGGUGCAAGCGUUAAUCGGAAUUACUGGGCGUAAAGCGCACGCAGGCGGUUUGUUAAGUCAGAUGUGAAAUCCCCGGGCUCAACCUGGGAACUGCAUCUGAUACUGGCAAGCUUGAGUCUCGUAGAGGGGGGUAGAAUUCCAGGUGUAGCGGUGAUAUGCGUAGAGAUCUGGAGGAAUACCGGUGGCGAAGGCGGCCCCCUGGACGAAGACUGACGCUCAGGUGCGAAAGCGUGGGGAGCAAACAGGAUUAGAUACCCUUGUAGUC